Long non-coding RNA from Lotus japonicus, 1328 nucleotides. RefSeq lists it as uncharacterized. Lineage: Eukaryota; Viridiplantae; Streptophyta; Magnoliopsida; Fabales; Fabaceae. The record is from RefSeq and is a predicted model, not a curated record. The transcript is spliced from 2 exons.
CAAUUGUAUCAGUUUCACUCCUUCUUUCAUUCAAUAUGAAACGCUUUUAAGUUAAAAAAAAAAUAGAAACGCUUCCCGUUUCACCGGGAGUUGGGUUUGGCACCCCACCUAUGGGGCUUGGCACCCCACUUUAUCAAAUACGGAAUUUAAAAUUCCGUAUUCUCCCUAUUGAAUACGGAACUUAAAAUUCCGUACUGUAUUUAAGCAUGCGCGUCACAUUUUCAACCACUCAUUAUAUACUAAAACAGAUACGGAAUUUUAUUUUCCGUAUUGAUACGGAACUUUAAAUUCCGUAUUUAAUAAAGUGGGGUGCAAAGCCUAAGGGGUGGGGCACCAAACUCAAUUCCCCGUUUCACCUUACCUUCGUUCAUUUUCUUCUUCUCUGAGCCGUUUCUCUAGGGUUUCAAAAUCAUUUAAAACCUUCCUCUGAGAAUUUCAUGUAUCUGCCCAUCUCUGCUUCAGUGAAGGAUUCGCAUUCUUUUGUAGGAUGUUUUAGGAUUUUGCAGUGAAUGACCUACCAAGGCGAUAUACCUGAUGUUAUUGCUUGCACUUGCCUGAUUCGUAACUUUUGCAGGCGGCGCGAGUCAUGGAGAUUCUGGAGGGUCCGAAAUUGACAGAUUUAGGAUAGAGGCUUUCUGCAAUUCUUCAGGUAUCAGAGCCUCUGAAUUCAAGUUCCCUCUGGCUGCUAGAAAUAGCUGAUGUGAUGAUGCAGAGUCCUGCAGCCAACGUUCAUGUUCGACCAUGGAGCCUCCUAUGACAGCAUUAAGGAUUCUUUUUCGUUCUUCGCCCAACUUCUUUGGCUGCCUAUGCACAAAAACUUAGGACGUUGAAGGAAAUUGUUUUUGUAGUUUUUACUGUUUCAGAUCUUUUUUUUAUACUGGACAAUUGUUGAGGAAUGCAUAGUCUUAGUCAAUUAGAUCAUUAUGGCAUUGUGAGGCUAUAUUUUAGUACAUUGCAAGACACAUUUUGUCUGUGUACAUAGCCUUGGGUAUAUUUUCUCAAUAAUUUAUUUUCCUCCGGGUUACUUCUCUUUGUGAUUUCUUCUCUAUCUUCUUUUCAUAUGAUACAGUGAUUCAUUAAAUUCUCAUUCUUUAAUUGUGAUUCAUAUUCUUUUUUACUGGACAAUUGUUGACCAAUAUUUUACUUAUUAUGUUGAUAGGUUGUAAGGGCAAAGAAGGAGGACACGAGAACUGUAUAUGCAUUGAAAAUCAUGGACAAAAAUAUUAUUAUUAAAGAGAACAAAAGAGCUUAUGUGAAGUUGGAACAUGUAGUGAAGUUGGAAUGUUUGUACAUCUACUGAAUGUACUGUGUAAACAUUGGAGGAGGAU